GAUGAACGCUAGCGGGAGGCCUAACACAUGCAAGCCGAGCGGGAUUUGUUGGUUAGCUUGCUAACUAACAAUGAGAGCGGCGUACGGGUGCGUAGCACGUGUGCAACCUGCCUUUAUCUGGGGGAUAGCCUUUCGAAAGGAAGAUUAAUACCCCAUAACAUAUUGAUUGGCAUCAGUUAAUAUUGAAAGCUCCGGCGGAUAGAGAUGGGCACGCGUAAGAUUAGCUAGUUGGUGAGGUAACGGCUCACCAAGGCUGCGAUCUUUAGGGGGCCUGAGAGGGUGAUCCCCCACACUGGUACUGAGACACGGACCAGACUCCUACGGGAGGCAGCAGUGAGGAAUAUUGGUCAAUGGGUGAGAGCCUGAUCCAGCCAUCCCGCGUGAAGGACUAAGGACCUAUGGUUUGUAAACUUCUUUUAUACAGGGAUAAACCUACUCUCGUGAGGGUAGCUGAAGGUACUGUAUGAAUAAGCACCGGCUAACUCCGUG
This 489-nucleotide ribosomal RNA is filed under the name uncultured bacterium. Its description in RNAcentral is "partial 16S ribosomal RNA". It matches the Rfam family "Bacterial small subunit ribosomal RNA", at positions 28 to 507 of the family's 1533-position model. The record is from RNAcentral.